This 253-nucleotide ribosomal RNA is filed under the name uncultured bacterium. Its description in RNAcentral is "partial 16S ribosomal RNA". It matches the Rfam family "Bacterial small subunit ribosomal RNA", at positions 524 to 776 of the family's 1533-position model. The record is from RNAcentral.
UACGGAGGGUGCAAGCGUUAUCCGGAAUUAUUGGGCGUAAAGCGUGCGUAGGCGGUUGCGCAAGUCGGAUGUGAAAGCCCGCGGCUCAACGUCGGAACGGCGUUGGAUACUGCGGGGCUAGAGUCCGGUAGAGGUCAGUGGAAUUCCCAGUGUAGCGGUGAAAUGCGUAGAUAUUGGGAAGAACACCAGUGGCGAAAGCGGCUGACUGGGCCGGAACUGACGCUGAGGGGCGAAAGCGAGGGGAGCAAACAGG